RNAcentral lists this ribosomal RNA (459 nucleotides) under uncultured bacterium. RNAcentral describes it as "partial 16S ribosomal RNA". It matches the Rfam family "Bacterial small subunit ribosomal RNA", at positions 338 to 795 of the family's 1533-position model. The record is from RNAcentral.
CCUACGGGAGGCAGCAGUGAGGAAUAUUGGUCAAUGGGAGAGAUCCUGAACCAGCCAAGCCGCGUGAGGGAAGACGGCCCUAUGGGUUGUAAACCUCUUUUGUCGGAGAACAAAACCCGGGACGUGUCCCGGACUGCGUGUAUCCGAAGAAAAAGCAUCGGCUAACUCCGUGCCAGCAGCCGCGGUAAUACGGAGGAUGCGAGCGUUAUCCGGAUUUAUUGGGUUUAAAGGGUGCGUAGGCGGUCCGUUAAGUCAGCGGUAAAAUUGCGGGGCUCAACCCCGUCGAGCCGUUGAAACUGGCAGACUUGAGUGGGCGAGAAGCACGCGGAAUGCGCGGUGUAGCGGUGAAAUGCAUAGAUAUCGCGCAGAACACCGAUUGCGAAGGCAGCGUACCGGCGCCAGACUGACGCUGAGGCACGAAAGCGUGGGGAGCGAACAGGAUUAGAUACCCCUGUAGUC